Molecule: unclassified non-coding RNA, 259 nt
Filed under: uncultured Russulaceae
Lineage: Eukaryota; Fungi; Basidiomycota; Agaricomycetes; Russulales; Russulaceae
Description: sequence contains ITS2
Source: RNAcentral
AAUUCUCAAAUCCCUUUCCUUUUGGGAAAAGGAUUUUUGGACUUGGAGGUUCGAUGCUCACCCUCGUUUUUGAGGGUGAGCUCCUCUCAAAUAUAUUAGUGAGGUCCGCUUUGCCGAUCCUUGAUGUGAUAGAUGUUUUCUACGUUUUGGAUCCGGCACUGUCCCUUGGACGUUUGCUUCCAACUGUCCCAUGGACAACGAUAGUGCUCUGGUCGCCGCCACCCUACAUUGGCGGGAGGCUGGACCCACAAAAUAAAAC